This 72-nucleotide transfer RNA is filed under the name Dipodomys ordii (Ord's kangaroo rat). It matches the Rfam family "tRNA". From Rfam's summary of the family: Transfer RNA (tRNA) molecules are approximately 80 nucleotides in length. Their secondary structure includes four short double-helical elements and three loops (D, anti-codon, and T loops). The record is from Rfam by way of RNAcentral. Lineage: Eukaryota; Metazoa; Chordata; Mammalia; Rodentia; Heteromyidae.
GGAGACAUGGCUUAGUGGUAGAGUACCUGCCUAGUAAGCAUGAGGCUCUGAGUUCAGACCUUAGUAAGGCCA